Nothoprocta perdicaria is the source of this 384-nucleotide long non-coding RNA. RefSeq lists it as uncharacterized. The transcript is spliced from 5 exons. NCBI's taxonomy places the organism in Eukaryota, Metazoa, Chordata, Aves, Tinamiformes, Tinamidae. The record is from RefSeq and is a predicted model, not a curated record.
UGCACAUGCAAACAUUCGAAUUUCCUGUUGGCUCAGAGUGUUUGCAUUGCAAGUGACAUCUGGCUGACAGGAACUUGGAGAAAUGGGAUACGAAGUGAAUGCUGCAGUUACCACAGCAUCAUAUUUAUCAAAAGGCUUAAGAUAUCAUGUUGGGCUGAAACUCUUAAGGAGACACUCCUUGUAAUCCAUGGGAGAGAAAAAAAGAAAUCAAAGUUGUUCUACACUGCAAAGAGUGAGUCCUAACUUCAACUGGCAGCACUGGCAAUAACAGACCAAAAGACCAUCCUGUCAGACUCAUCAGAACUUCAGUCGGAUUCGCUGUGAUGCCCGGACACCGGGGACUGGGUUAGAGGAGAGAUUUCCCAAAUGACGCUGUAUUUUCCA